AUUGAACGCUGGCGGCAUGCUUUACACAUGCAAGUCGAACGGUAACAGGCCGCAAGGUGCUGACGAGUGGCGGACGGGUGAGUAAUGCAUCGGAACGUGCCCAGCCCUGGGGGAUAACUACUCUUAAGAGUAGUUAAUACCGCAUACGAUCUAUGGUUGUACGCGGGGGACCGUAAGGCCUCGCGCGAUUGGAUCGGCCGAUGUCCGAUUAGGUUGUUGUUGGGGUAAAGGUAUACCAAGACAACGAUCUGUACGUGGUCUGAGAGGAGGACCGGCCACACUGGGACUGAGACACGGCCCAGACGCCUAAGAGAGGCAGCAGUGGGGAAUGUUGGGCAAUGGGCGGAAGCCUGGUCCAGCAAGGCCGCGUGCAGGGAGAAGGCCUUCGGGUUGUAAACUGCUUUUGUACGGAGCGAAACGGCUCUGGUUAAUACCCGGGGCUAAUGACGGUACCGUAAGAAUAAGCACCGGCUAACUACGUG
This 482-nucleotide ribosomal RNA is filed under the name uncultured bacterium. RNAcentral describes it as "partial 16S ribosomal RNA". It matches the Rfam family "Bacterial small subunit ribosomal RNA", at positions 30 to 507 of the family's 1533-position model. The record is from RNAcentral.